Molecule: ribosomal RNA, 253 nt
Filed under: uncultured bacterium
Lineage: Bacteria
Description: partial 16S ribosomal RNA
Rfam family: Bacterial small subunit ribosomal RNA
Source: RNAcentral
UACGUAGGGUGCAAGCGUUGUCCGGAAUUAUUGGGCGUAAAGGGCUCGUAGGAGGUUUGUCGCGUCGGGAGUGAAAACCAGGUGCUUAACACCUGGCUUGCUUUCGAUACGGGCAGACUAGAGGUAUUCAGGGGAGAACGGAAUUCCUGGUGUAGCGGUGAAAUGCGCAGAUAUCAGGAGGAACACCGGUGGCGAAGGCGGUUCUCUGGGAAUGACCUGACGCUGAGGAGCGAAAGUGUGGGGAGCGAACAGG